UUUAAACACACACAUUAGUAUUCAUACAUAAAGUUCAUUUACAUCUAGAGAUCAAAACAGUCAGUAAAUAUCAGAAGAAUGUAGAUAUUGAUUAUACCAGUAGCCACCAGAAGCAGAAGAGCGACGAAGACAGCCGAAAACAUACGCAUGAAACUCUCCAUUAUCUUCUUGUUCUUAAUAGCUCUUAACUGUGUAUAGGUGUGUUGAGGAUGAGAUGAGAUUACAAUGCAAGCUUACUAGCCUUUAUAUAGAAGCUGUCCACUAAUUAAGCUAGCUGAGUCAUCCGAAAGAUCGAGAAAGCCAUAAUGGUAAAAAGGAGGGAGGAGCUGGGGACGAGUCAUGAAUGGCGAGUAGGGUAUGGUCUGCACUAACAUCACUGCUUUUUCUGCUUUUUUUGAUUCUAGCGAACCACACGUUUGUGAAUUGUGUCAAUUCAAGCUCCAUUGAGUUGGCAAACCUGCAAUGAAUUACUGAAUACUGACUCAUUCUGCAAAGUUAGCUCAAUCAUGCAUGAAUGGGUAACAUGGUCUUCUCAAACUAGCUAGGGAUAUCACCGUCAACCAAUGUUGUACAUAUGUGAAGGAUAGAAUUCCAGAUAACAAUAGUUUAUGGUAAAGAAAGUCAUGAACUCAUGAUACACGUAGCUAAUGAUAAUGAAAUAUGUUUAGAAACCUAAAGGUGUACUCAACUACAUAAUAAGAACAGGGUAGAGGCUGCUUAUAGCAUUACAGAAUCAUAGGUGGUGCAGAAAAUGGAAAAGGAAUUUAGCCCAACAAUGGAAAUCUACCUUUUAGAAAAGAAAGAUAACACAGAUAUUGAAAGUGAGGAUCAUGAAUUUGACUUGUGUCUACCGACAUUGAAGAUUUUAACCUUACACGUACAGUAGCCAUAGUCACCCUAUUUCUUUCUGAAAGCAAAGCAUCUUAGCCAAAUACAACUUUCCUAUUUUUCUCUUUUCUUUGUUACAAAAUUUCUACCAUUCUAAUGGAUAUAAUAUACUGUUUAUUAUCAGCAAAGAACUGAUGGAAAACUGAGAAGUAAGAACCAACCCAAAAUUAAUCUUGACAACAAGACUACAAGAGAAGAAAUAGAACAAUUAAAUUUCUGAUAUAUAAUAGCUAGUAUGCUUCUACAUCAGAGAAAACCAAACAUAUGAAGAGAAAUAUAAUUUUCUUGAUUGAAGUAGAUGAUUGAUGACAAAGGAGAAUACAUGUUUAAACUACUACAGUACUACAAUCAGAGAUGCUAGCUAGCUAGACUAGGAUUUUGUCUUCAUCUAUUUGCUCUAGGUUUGUCUUGGCUUGUAGCAUAAGGAUGGACCUUGUGAGCAGAGCACGGUGGCAUUUGCAUGCAUACUAUUGUGUUUCAGAUAUGGACUGCUAUUUUUUUUUUUUUUUCCGAUUAAUGGUAUGCUGCUGGUGUAUUGCAAUCCUAUAUGCUUAUCAGUAAUAUAUAUAGUCGAAAAAGAUUCUAUAUAAAACAUGCAUACAAGGUAAACUAAAGGCUUAUUUGGUACAUUUUUCCCUAUCAGCUUGGGUUCCCCCAAACUUCUUCCUUAGAGAUUCUACUUCUUCAUCUUUCAACGUCGUAAAUAAUGUUUUGGGUUCCCCAAUCUUGUGACCAUCAGCUACAAUCUCCCAAGGCCGUUUUGAUUUAUUGACAUCACAAAGGGAUUUGAUUGACUCAUGAGGCAAGUUCAGCUGCUCAAGUACCCUAGCAGAAAUGGAAGGCAUGUACGGUUCCAAUAAGAAAUCAAGAAGAUGCACUAACCCUACUGAAGUUUUGAUGACAAUAGAGCACCGAGGCCGGUCCUCCUUGUAGAGCUUCCAGAACUGGGAUCCUUGGAGAUAUGCAUUCCCCUCGCUAGAAAUACUCAUUGCUAAUUUAAGCCCUUGCUUUAGUUUGAGCUUCUCCAUUGCUUCCAUGUAUUGCUCUACAUGUCUGCCGACUUUUUCUGCUAACUCAACUGUCAAAGCAUCAGAGUCUGCACCUGCAGCCUCAGGAAUUAUGCCACCAUAUCCUCCUGAAGGUUUAGCAAUGAAACUCAAAACUCUGUUGAUGAAGUCGCCUAAAUUACCAACCAACUCACUUUUGAGUUUUGUUUGUAAAUCGGACCAAGCAAACUCAGUGUCGGAUCCCUCAGGCCUAUUAGUCAGCAAGUAAUAGAGCCACACUUCAACUGGAAUGCCUGUGAGUUUUGCAUCGUUUCCGAAAACUCCAAUGCCUCUACUCUUAGAAAACUUGCCUUUUUCAUAGUUUAAGUACUCAGUUACACUGAUAUUGUUCAUGAGUGUCCAAUUUUCUCCGGUUCCAAGAAGCGCUGAGGGGAACAUGAUUGUGUGAAAUGGCACAUUGUCCUUCCCCAUGAACUGACACAAUUCGACAUUCUCGGGAUUCUUCCACCACUUCUCAUACUGAUCAGGAGUGUAGCACUUAGUAAUGGAGAUGUAUCCAAUAGGUGCAUCGAACCACACGUAAAAUACCUUGUCUCUGAAGCCAUCGUGUGGAACUGGAACACCCCACUUGAGAUCCCUUGUAAUGCAACGUUGUUUAAGCCCCUCGUUGAGCCAUGCUUUUGUGAUAUGAACCGCAUUCUGGCUCCAACACCCUUUCUCUGAUGCUACAUUGAUGUACUCUUUCAACCUAUCCUUGAGCAAAGGGAGGUCCAGAAACAAGUGACUUGUUUCGCAAAUCCGCGGAGCUUCCUUGCAAACCUUGCAUUUAGGAUCUUCUAAUUCGAUCGGAUUCAAGAGCUAUCCACACUUGUCACACUGGUCUCCUGGGGCAGAAUCAUAGUGACAUCUAGGACAUGUCCCCUCCACGAACCGGUCCGCUAAGAACCUGUUACACUUGUCACAAUGGAGCUGCUGGAUUGAGUUUUCGGCAAGGCAGUCAUUGUGCAACAGUUUCUUGAAAAUGUCUUGGCAGACCUCAGUUUGCUGUGGCGUGGAAGUUCGUCCGAAAUGGUCAAAGCUUAUGUUAAACCACUCAUACACCUCCCUAUGGAUUUUGUGGUACUUGUCACAUAUCUGUUGGGGGCUGCACUUCUCUUCCAAGGCUUUGGUCUCCGUAGCCGUGCCGUACUCGUCGGUACCGGAGAUAUAGAGGGUAUUGUAUCCCCGGAGACGGCAGUACCGAGCAAAGACAUCGGCGCGCUCAAGAUGCAGCCGAUGAUGUUGCCGAGGUGGGGGACGUUGUUAACAUAUGGCAAGGCACUGGUGAUGAGGACGUUUCGCUCUCCUGGUAUUGGGAGCUUGGGGACUUUCUGGUCCUGCUUGGUUAGAUUUUCCAUUGUCAACUUUUAUAGCCAUUAAGUUGACCAAUUUACCCUUAAUUUCUCUUUUUUUUUUAGUUUUUUUAUAUUUGUUUUCAUAUUCCAAAAAUAUUAGAAGAGGUUUUAGAAUUUGAUAAUUCGGGUUGAUCUUUGUAAACUUGAAGAAGAUUGAAGAGAAACAUCCAGAAGUUUAAUCUUUGUUGUUUAUGCUGACACUCAAUCUUUGUUGAUCUUUAUAAACUUGAAGAGAAACAUACAAAAGUUCAAUAUUUGUUGUUUAUGCUGACACUCAAGGAUCUUGUUGUUGCCGUUGACAAUGAAGGAUAAUUGAGAUGAAAAAUUGAUUAUUAACAAGGAGAAAGUGACGAUGAAUUUUUUUUCUACGUUCCUAAAAAUAUAAAAAAACCAAAAAAGAAAAUUGGAAUAUGAAAACAAAGAAAAGAAUUUAAGGGUAUAUUGGUCAUCUUUUUUUGGUUUGAGGGUAAAUUAGUCAUCUUAAUAGCUAUAUAUACUAAUCUUAGGUCGGGAUGGAAACAUGAAAUACCAAUCUAAUAUUUUUAAAACUUGGUAUACCAAAGUUUAUAAGGAGCAAAAGUUUGUAUAUCAUUCAGACGAAUUUCUCUUACAGAAAUGAUCUAUACACUAUAUUCUAGAUACAGAACGGUGGAGAUGUGAAAAUGUUAUCUAAAAGUGAGCGAAAUGAGAAGCACUACAUUUUAAUUUGAAAGUGGUAUCUCUCUCUGGAAGAAAACUGUAUAGAUCAAUAAAUCAUCAUACUAAAAACACAACAUCACCUUCAUAUUCGAAUAUUUGCCAAGUUUGGUUAAUCCGAUCCCUCGUAUAUAGGUGUAUGUACGUGCUUAAAGCUAGCUGGGUAUAGUCAUAACAGGUCACAAGUACAUACUGUGGUGAGUCACUUUCCCGAGUUUGCUCAAUCAUGGAAUGAGCAGCAGCAUGGGCUCCUCAGUCUCACACACAUGGGAUAUCUACAUUUUACAGGUACCUCUCUACUCACAUUUAUGAAGGAUCCAUAGAAUUCGAGAUGACAAUACUUUAAUAUCCAAGAAAGUGACAAGACUUGUACCUAGCCGAGAACAUGGUUAUAAACCUAAAUGUACUCAAACACCUAAUGAGAACAUGAUUAUGAACUUAAAGCAUUACAGAAUCGUAUGGGAAAGAGUUGGAAUUGUCGGCCGGAUUGUUUUCUCUGGUCUCCGGCAAAGACGAAGUGUUAUUGGGGAAGUUGAUUUGUGUUCUUAAUGGGUUUCAUAUUUGGAAUCAAGCCCGCGUAGGGAAAUCUAUCCUCCUUUGUUAUGGUGCUUGAUCAGGAUUUCUCUUACAAUUUUUUUACAGUGCAUCUGGUUAUGAUCUGAAAGCACAUAGAGCAUCAUUGCUGGUAAUUACUUCUUCAGAUUGCUAAAGGAAGGAUGCAUACUCAAAACGUCUGCUAAAAAGAAAGAACCAAAGUGCGGCAUUACAAUCCUACACAAAUCCAAGCUACAUAGAUCACCCAAACUUAAAACACAGCAAGUAGACACAAAAAUCAUUUAUUCUAAACACGUAGGUACGCUACAAUUAUAUGCAUCCUUCUUGCACUGCUAAUUACUCAUUAACAGUGUUUGGUGCAGAAGCAUCUGCGGCGAAGACCGCGGCAGUCGCCUCCGGUGAAGCCCUCAGUUUGGCAAACAGAUGCACAGUUGCUUUCUCUCAAGCAAGUUCCCUUGAACUUGUGGCUCAAAGUCUCACAAGUUCUUGCUUCUGCAACCAUUGCAUUUGGCCCCAUUCCUACAUACAUUUUAAACACACACAUUAGUAUUCAUACAUAAAGUUCAUUUACAUCUAGAGAUCAAAACAUACAGUGAGUAAAUAUCAGAAGAAUGUAGAUAUUGAUUAUACCAGUAGCCACCAGAAGCAGAAGAGCGACGAAGACAGCCGAAAACAUACGCAUGAAACUCUCCAUUAUCUUCUCUUCCUGUUCUUAAUAUCUCUUAUCCUCUUAUCUAGCUGUGGGUGUGUAUAGGUGUGUUGAGGAUGAGAUGAGAUUACAAUGCAAGCUUACCAGCCUUUAUAUAGAAGCUGUGCACUAAGCUAGCUGAGUCAUCCGAAAGAUCGAGAAAGCUAUAAUAUGGUAAAAAGGACGGAGGAGCUGGGGACGAGUCAUGGCGAGUAGGGUAUGGUCUGCACUAACAUCACUGCUUUCUGCUCUUUUUGAUUCUAGCCAACCACACGUUUGUGAAUAAUUGUGACAAUUCAAGCUCCAUUGAG
Molecule: long non-coding RNA, 5539 nt
Filed under: Fragaria vesca (wild strawberry)
Lineage: Eukaryota; Viridiplantae; Streptophyta; Magnoliopsida; Rosales; Rosaceae
Description: long non-coding RNA (FVES_LNC002122)
Source: RNAcentral